RNAcentral lists this long non-coding RNA (259 nucleotides) under Phoenix dactylifera (date palm). RNAcentral's name for it is "long non-coding RNA (PDAC_LNC015640)". The record is from RNAcentral. Lineage: Eukaryota; Viridiplantae; Streptophyta; Magnoliopsida; Arecales; Arecaceae.
UCUUUCACCAGAUCUAGCCAUCACUUGAAGUAAAUAUGAUGCCUAUGAUGACACGAUAACCCAUCAAGUAAUUCUAAAGAAGCGACACCAUGAAAUCUGGAAGUCCACAGCAUCUCAAAAUGAAAAGUGGUGCACUGAUAUAUGAAAAUUAACACAAAAGGGGCGUACAUGGGAUAAUUCUUGAUCCUAUCUGAAGUCUAACACAAGGUAGCUGAGCCAUAAUAUAAGAAGCAUUAAAAUUGCUCAAAUAAUGAGAAAG